Molecule: long non-coding RNA, 7838 nt
Filed under: Gossypium raimondii (Peruvian cotton)
Lineage: Eukaryota; Viridiplantae; Streptophyta; Magnoliopsida; Malvales; Malvaceae
Description: long non-coding RNA (GRAI_LNC005922)
Source: RNAcentral
CUAGUGGAGGGGCGCUUGUCAAUAUGACUCCUAAAAGGGUAAGAGAUCUGAUAUCCACCAUGGUGGCAAAUUUUCAACAGUAUUAGCCGAAUUCAAAACUGACAAGAAGGGUUAAUGGGGUAAACGUUUCAUCUUUAGAAGAUAAAUUGGAUAAGCUUACCAAUAUUGUUCAAUCUUUGCUUACAGAAAAGAAAAUUUUGACUCAACUGUGUGGAAUUUAUACUACGUCUGAACAUCCGACGGAUUUGUGCCCAACCCUUAACGACAAUUCAAUGGCAAGUGUUGAUGCUGUCGGAGGUUUUUUGAGACCUCUGCAAAGAUGCUAUGAUCCUUUCUCUAACACUUACAAUCCCGAGUGGAAGGAUCAUCCCAACUUAAAUUACAAAGCUAAUCCUCGAUAUAAUCCAUCAUACCAACCGAGACCUUUGCAACCACCACAAUAACAACCCAAGCCGAGCACAUCUCUAGAAACUGUUGUGGAAAGACUUGUCGUCGAUGCUGCAAAAUAUCAACAAAGGACAGAUGCAUCAAUACAAGAGUUAACUAAUCAAGUCAGUAAACUCUCGAUGGUAGUUAAUCAUUUGGAAUCUCAAGGUAAAUUACCUUCCCAGACAGAGUCGAAUUCUAGGCAGAAUGCAAGUGCAAUAACUCUUCGUAGUGGAAAGGUUCUGGAAACAGUUCCAGUCAAAAGUCAUGGGCAAGACAAGGAACUGGAAAAAUAGAUCUCUGAUCCAAAAGUCAGACCGGAAUCAGAAAUUCAAAAACCAGUAGUGAUGCCACCUCCUUUUCCAGGGAGGCUUGCAAAGGAUAAGAAAGAGAAUGAGGGAAAAGAAAUCAUCGAAACAUUCAGGAAGGUAGAGGUAAAUAUCCCUUUGCUCGACGCUAUCAAACAAAUCCCUCGUUAUGCAAAAUUCCUCAAGGAAUUAUGUACUAGCAAGAGGAGGUUAAUAGGUAACGAAAGAGUAAAUGUAGGAGAAAAUGUCUCCGCAGUACUGCAAAAGAAAGUUCCACCCAAAUACAAGGACCAAGGUAUGUUUGCUAUAUCCUGUGAAAAAAGAAAGUAAUAAUCCAGUUGGCAGACAGGUCAGUCGUCUAUCCCAAAGGGUUGCUUAAAGACGUCCUUGUUAAAAUUAACGAAUUAGUUUUCUCUGCAGAUUUCUACAUUAUUAAUAUAGAGGAUGAUAACUCAACUAAUUCAUCUGACAUUUUUCUUGGAAGGUCGCUUCUAAGUACCACAAGCGUAAAAAUUGAUGUUCAGAGUGGAACACUGACAAUAGAGUUUGAUGGUGAAAUCAUGAAAUUCAACGUCUACGAAGCUAUGAAUCAUCCUAACUCACUAUCAAAUAUUUCUAGUAUCGAUAUUAUAGAUUGUUUAACUCAAUUUUAUUUUAAAUAUCAUGACUUUGAUGAAUUGGAAACUGUCCUUUAUAGAAGCAUUAACAUAGUUGUUCUAAAUUAUCUCGAAGAAUUAUCAAUUAUAGGAGAUCCAUUGCGAUAAAUUGUCAAGCACUUGGAGAUGCAACCAUCAUUGAUGAAUCGAGGUAACCAAUUUGAACUAUUACCUUCCCAAACUAAAAUGUUGCCUUCAGUUUUACAGCCACCAACCUUGGAGCUUAAAGUAUUACCGGACCAUCUUAAGUACGUCUUCUUAGGAGAGAAAGACACUUUACCGGUGAUAGUGUCAAACAAACUAACCAAAGAUGAAGAGGAAAGUCUAUUUCGAGUUCUGAUGGAUUAUAAGGAAGCUAUUGGUUGGACAAUAGCCGACAUAAAAUGGCUAAGUCCAUCCACUUGUAUGCACAAAAUUUCCAUCGAAGAUAACAUGAAACCAAAAAGAGAUGCUCAAAGGCGCCUUAAUCCACCCAUGAUGGAGGUAGUAAAGAAGGAGAUCCAGAAACUGUUAGAUGCUGGAAUGAUAUACCCAAUUUUUUAUAGUGAUUAGGUUAGCCCGGUCCAUGUCGUGCCCAAGAAAACUGGCGUGAUAGUGGUGAAAAACUCGUUAAGAGAGCUAGUCCUUACCCGAGUUCAGAAUAGAUAGAGGGUUUGCAUCGAUUACAGGAAAUUGAAUGCAGCUACCCGGAAAGACCAUUUUCCACUUCCCUUCAUCGAUCAAAUGCUCGAGCGAUUAGCUGGUAAGACCCAUUAUUGUUGUCUCGAUGAGUACUCAGGAUAUUUCCAAAUUUCAGUGGCACUUGAGGAUUAAGACAAAAUAACUUUCACAUGCCCCUUCAGAACGUUUGCGUAUAGAUGAAUAUCGUUUGGACUUUGUAAUGCUCCGGCCACUUUCCAGAGAUACAUGGUAAGCAUAUUCUCCAAUUAUGUCGAGAAAAUCAUUGAAGUCUUCAUGGAUGACUUCACGGUGUACGAUAGCUCUUUUAACGAAUGUCUUGAUAAUCUUGCUAAGAUAUUACAAAGAUGCCUAGAAUUUAAUCUUGUUUUAAAUUAUGAAAAAUGCCACUUCAUGGUUGACAAAGGAUUAAUUUUGGAUUAUAUAGUUUCCUCGAAAGGAAUUGAGGUCGAUAAAGCAAAAACAGAUAUUAUUAACUCAUUACCUUACCCCACAUCUGUGAGGAAAGUUUGUUCGUUUCUCAGUCAUGUAGGAUUUUACAGACGAUUCAUGAAAGAUUUCCCGAAGAUCGCGCAACCGCUUUGUAAACUGUUACAAAAGGAUAAAGAAUUUGAAUUUGACCAAACUUGUAAAGAGCAUUUGACGUGCUGAAACAGAAAUUGGUCUUCGCUCCCAUGGUGCAACCACCAAAUUGGAACUUCCUGUUCAAAAUCAUGUGUGAUGCAAGUGACCGAAGUAUGGGAGCUGUUCUUGGCCAAAGAAUAGGGAAAGAGCCUCAUGUUAUCUACUAUGCUUCGAAGACUUUAGAUGCUACCCAAAACAAUUACACAACCACUGAAAAAGAAUUAUUGGUUGUUGUGUUUGCUUUAGAUAAAUUUAGAUCUUACCUAUUGGGAACUAAAGUGAUUAUCUUUUCUGAUCAUGCAACUUUGAAAUAUUUAAUUGGGAAGAAGGAGGCAAAACCUUGAUUGAUUAGGUGGAUUCUGCUCCUACAAGAGUUUGAUUUUGAAAUUCGGGAUAAAAAGGGACGCGAAAACUUAGUAGCUGACCAUUUGAGUCGAUUACUGAUUCCAGUAGACAACACACCAUUGAAAGACAAUUUCCCUAAUGAAAAUCUAUUUUCAGCAAAUGCGCUUCAUCCUUGGUAUGCAGACAUAGUAAAUUACCUCGUCACAAGUAUUGUUCCUUCGGAAUUACCAAGGUCUAAAAAAAAUAAAAUAAAAAAGGAUGCUCGAUAUUACAUUUGGGACGAUCCUUACCUUUAGAAGCAUUGCUCUGAUCAGAUAAUUCGAUGGUGUGUAGCAGAAACAGAGGUACAAUCCAUCUUAACUUUUUGUCAUUCGUAUGCAUGUGGAGGACACUUUGGACCUAAACGCACCGCGCAUAAAAUUCUUGAACGUGGACUAUUUUGGCCAAACAUAUUUCGUGAUGCCUUUUUAUUCUGCAAAACCUGUGAAAGGUGCCAAAAAGUCGGCAACCUUAGUCAUCGAAAUGAGAUGCCCCUUACUCCUAUUCAUAUUUGCAAAAUUUUCGAUGUGUGGGGCAUCAAUUUUAUGGGCCCUUUUGUUUCUUCUUUUGGUAAUUUUUAUAUACUCUUAGCUAUUGAUUAUGUCUCUAAAUGGAUAGAGGAAAAAGCCACUCGCAAUGAUAAUGCUAAGACUGUGGUUGACUUUCUUAAAAGUUCUAUCUUUUCCAGGUAUUAAAGAGGUUGAUUUAAACAUUAACACAAGAGAGUUCACUAUAAUGUAAAUCCAUUGUAAUCUCCAUUCUUAUUUGUUCUAUCCUAGGAUGUAAGGAAUAUUCUCGAAUCAUGUGUUUUUUUUUUGUUAUUCCUUCUUUUCUUAUUUCAAAUUUCUUAAUUAGUCUAUGCUUUCAUGAAUCAAUCUAUAAUCAUUUUUGCAUUCAAGUAUUACUCUGUAGUCGUUGAGAAGCAUUGGCGUAAGAAUUGCAAAGCACUUUGGCCAUCUCUCAAACCAUAGAAACACUGCACUUUUGCUGAUAUGAUUUUCGGCUUGUUGGCUUUUUUUACCAUUAAAUUAAAUAAAAUUCAAUUUUAAUUCAAGUGGAUAAGAAAAAAAUAUUUGAAUUACAAAUUUAGAUAAGCCAAAUUAGAUAAAAUUACUCGGGGUGCAUUUGAACACCAUAAUUAUAUGAAAAUUAUAUUUUUUUGGAAUUACAAAAAAAAAGUAAUUCCUUAAAUUUGUUUAAUUAAUAGAGUGUAAUUAUAUUAUAAUUUCCUAAGUCAUAUUUGUUAAUUUAAAUUAUAAUUACACAAAUGGAGGUGAGUAGAUAGUUACGUGAAGCUGAUGGUUCACUAUAUCUUGCUGAUAAACUACAGAAGGUUUCUGGUGAGCAAUACAAUUGGAGUAAACGGGGUGAAGAGGAUUUCGCUAUCAAUGGAUUUGGGAAGGGGCCUAUGGAUAUGGUGUUGGAGGAGGAAAAUGAUGUUGUAGCAUUGGUGGAAGGAAAGAAGCAACAGAGGGUAAUGGAAAUUCCAGCUGAUUCUUUGGGAUCAAAGGAAGGCUCAAGGUCUAUGUACUUAUCGGCUAGCUCUGGUGAUCAGAGCAGCCGGGAUCAAUAAAAAUCUUAAGUUGGAAUGUUCGUGGUUUGGGGAGACCACGAACAGUAAAGAGGCUCAGAAAUAAGUUGAGGGCCAUUAAUCCCCGAAUUUUGUUUCUUAUGGAGACAAAAUUAAGUUCUAGGAAGAUGGAGUUAGUCAGACAGAAGUGUGGCUUUGCGAAUGGAAUUGAUAUUGGAUCUAUCGGCUCUAAAGGUGGUUUAUCUCUGGGCUGGAAUGGUAAUGCAUUGAUCACGCUUAGGAGCUUUUCCUCUUUCCAUAUUGAUGUUGAGGUUAUUGAUACUAAAUGUGGUAAUUGUUGGAGAUUAACAGGGUUUUAUGGGAAUCCGGAUGAACGGAGUAGAGCUGAUUCAUGGAAUCUACUUCGACAAUUGAACAAUGAGCAAGAAAUUCCUUGGGUUGUUUUAGGGGAUUUCAAUGAAAUCACCAAGUCAUUUGAAAAGAAAAGGGGCCGUCUUAGAUCAGAACGUCAGAUGAAGGACUUUCGUACAACUUUAAAAGAUUGUGGUCUCAAUGACUUGGGUUUUAUUGGAAGGUGGUUCACUUGGGAAAGAGGUAGAUUUGCUGCUACGAACAUUCGUGAACGUCUGGAUCGGGGAGUUGCUACGUUGGGUUGGGUAAGUAUUUUCCCUUAUUACCAACUUGAACAUUUGUGUCAUUCCUUUUCAGACCAUUGCCCCAUUCUUCUUGACACCAUAAGAGCGAGGUGAGAAGUCCGGAGGAGAAGUAACGAAGCUAAGCCCUUUCGAUUUGAAGCUAAGUGGUGCUUGGAUAGUUCUUUUGAAGGAAGGGUUCGAAGAUGGUGGGAGGAUAUUUUUAAUUGUGUUCCGAAUAAGUUGGAGAGAAUUGGCCUCCAAAUGCAAAAGUGGAGUAAGUUAAAGGAUAGAGAAGAGAAGAAAACUCGUGUAGAUCUAGAAGCAAAACUGAACAGUCUUUAUCAACGGGAAGUUUCUAACGAGACCCUUGAGGAAAUUAUGAAGGUUCAGCUAGGGAUUAAUUUGGAAGCGGACAAAGAAGAAAUAUAUUGGGAGCAAAGAGCCCGUGUUAACUGGUUGAAGAAUGGUGACCGAAAUACCAAGUAUUUCCAUUCGGUUGCGGUACAACGCCAUCUUCGUGGUAGAAUUUCUGCAUUAGAAGACGAGAAUGGUAGACGAGUUUAUUCUACUUCAGAGUUUAUCAAGAUAGCUUCAGAUUAUUUUGGUAAGCUGUUUUCUGCAUCAGAAAUGGGAUUGGACGAGCAUCUUUUUGGUCUAGUAGAGAAGCGAGUUACUGAUAGCAUGAAUGCUAGAUUGUUACAACAAUUCACUGAGACGGAUGUUGCUAAUGCUGUUAAGUCAAUGACUCCGUUGAAAGCCCCUAGGGUUGAUGGGUUUCCAGUUAUCUUCUUUCAGCGAUACUGGCACAUUAUUGGUAAGGAGAUUUCAACGUAUUGUUUAUCUAUUUUGCAUGGUCAGACUGAGAUUGGUGAUAUUAAUAAAACGCGUAUUGUAUUGAUUCCCAAGGUGGAUAAGCCUAAGAAUAUGUCUCAAUUUAGGCCUAUAAGCCUUUGUACUGUUAUCUACAAAAUUGUGGCAAAGGUUUUGGUGGAUUGGAUGAGCGAUACUUUGGGGAGCUGUAUCAAUGAAGCUCAAUGAGCUUUCAUUCCUGAAAGACUUAUAUCGGAUAAUGUGUUGAUCGCGUAUGAAAUCCUCCAUUCACUCAAAAUGAAGAGAAGAGGUAAGAAGAGGAAUUUUGCACUUAAGCUUGAUAUGAGUAAAGCCUAUGAUCGUGUUGAAUGGGAUUUUCUGGCUGGAAUAAUGAAGCAUUUAGGCUUUCAUGUUGAUUGGAUUGUGCUUAUUAUGAGGUGUGUUUGUUCUGUCUCUUACUCAGUUAGUCUUAAUGGAGUAAACAGUGACUGGUUUUUUCCUUCAAGAGGGCUACGACAGGGUGACCCUCUUAGUCCAUACCUUUUUCUGAUUUGUGCCGAGGGAUUUUCCACGCUUUUACAGGAAGCGAAACGAGCGGGUCGGAUGAUAAGUGCGUCUGUUGGUAGGGAGCGGUUGACCCUCAAUCAUCUGUUUUUUGCAGAUGACUGCAUCCUAUUUGGAGAUGCCUCGUAUAAUGGGGCAAGAGUGGUUCGGGAUAUAAUAAAGGAGUAUGAAGUGGUUUCAGGACAGCGAGUGAAUCUUGAUAAGUCUCUUAUUUAUUUUGGGGCAAAUGUAAAUUCCGAGGUAAGGAUGGAUAUUGUUAGCCAGUUAGGAGUUCGGGAGACUAAGAAUCCGGAGAAGUAUUUGGGAUUGCCUAUGAUGGUAGGCCGGAAGAAAAGGUGGGCUUUUGCUAGUUUUGAGGAUCGACUCAGAAAACGUGUGGAAGGUUAGAGGUUACGCUAUUUGUCUAUGGGAGGGAAAGAGGUGUUCAUUAAAUCGGUUCUUCAGGCUGCCCCAAUUUACGCUAUGCAAUGCUUCUUAUUGCCCAAAUUGUUGUGCCGUAAGCUUGAAGGAAUUAUGAACAGAUUUUGGUGGACAAAUAAUAAGUCAUCGAAAGGUAUACAUUGGAGCAGUUGGGAGAUGCUUUGCAAACCGAAGUGUUUUGGGGGGUUAGGUUUUAAAAAUUUGUUCUUGUUUAAUAAAGCCCUAUUAGCUAAACAGGUUUGGCGUAUUUUUUAUCAACCUCAUUGUUUGUUAGCCAGAGUUUUUAAAGCCCGGUAUUUCCCGUCUUCUGAUAUUUUUUCAGCGAAAACUGGAUCUUACCCCUCGUUUACCUGGAGGAGUCUCUGUAAUGUUCGUGAGGUAGUCAGGGAAGGGAUGUUGUGGCGGGUUGGAAAGGGUGAUUGCAUCAAUAUCUGGAAUGAUCCCUGGUUACCUGGAAGAGAGAAUAAUCGAAUUUCAGUGCAGAUGAUCAGGUCUAAUUGGACUACUGUCAAUCAGCUAAUCAACAAUGUUACUAAUACCUGGGAUAGGGAGCUGGUUUAUGACCUGGUGGAUGAGAGUACAGCGGAUCGUAUCUUCACUAUCCCCGUCUCCGAAUGCGGUCAGGAGGAUCGGUUGGUUUGGAAGCAUGAGGGUUCCGGGGAAUACUCUGUUAAGAGUGGAUAUCGGGUUCUUAAUUCUGACUACUUACGUGAUCCUAAGUACAAAUCCUCUUGUGGUGAGGAAUACAAAGUAUUUUACACUGCAUUAUGGUCUUUAAACAUUCCAGGGAAAAUUAAAAUAC